GCGCUCGUAGCUCAUAUGGAUAGAGCACUGUUCUCCGAAGACAGAGGAAUCAGGUUCAAAUCCUGUCGAGCGCA
Molecule: transfer RNA, 74 nt
Filed under: Arsenophonus sp.
Lineage: Bacteria; Pseudomonadati; Pseudomonadota; Gammaproteobacteria; Enterobacterales; Morganellaceae
Description: tRNA-Arg
Rfam family: tRNA
About the family: Transfer RNA (tRNA) molecules are approximately 80 nucleotides in length. Their secondary structure includes four short double-helical elements and three loops (D, anti-codon, and T loops). Further hydrogen bonds mediate the characteristic L-shaped molecular structure. tRNAs have two regions of fundamental functional importance: the anti-codon, which is responsible for specific mRNA codon recognition, and the 3' end, to which the tRNAs corresponding amino acid is attached (by aminoacyl-tRNA synthetases). tRNAs cope with the degeneracy of the genetic code in two manners: having more than one tRNA (with a specific anti-codon) for a particular amino acid; and 'wobble' base-pairing, i.e. permitting non-standard base-pairing at the 3rd anti-codon position.
Source: RNAcentral